GCUUUACUGUAGCCUGUAAUUGGCUCCGGGCUGUGUUUGCGCAGGAUAGGUGGGAGGCGUUGAAGUUGCCCUUGUGGGGGCAGGUGAGCCAACGGUGAGAUACCACUCUAACACAGCUAGGAUUCUAACUUGGAGCCGUAAUCCGGCACGAGAACAGUUGCAGGUGGGCAGUUUGACUGGGGCGGUCGCCUCCCAAAUGGUAACGGAGGCGCGCAAAGGUUCCCUCAGCACGCUUGGAAACCGUGCAUAGAGUGUAAAGGCAUAAAGGGAGCUUGACUGCAAGAGCGACAACUCAAGCAGGGACGAAAGUCGGCCUUAGUGAUCCGACGGCACUGAGUGGAAGGGCCGUCGCUCAACGGAUAAAAGUUACUCAAGGGUAAACAAGGCUGAA
This 391-nucleotide ribosomal RNA is filed under the name uncultured Pleurocapsales cyanobacterium. RNAcentral describes it as "bacterial LSU rRNA". It matches the Rfam family "Bacterial large subunit ribosomal RNA", at positions 2098 to 2486 of the family's 2925-position model. The record is from RNAcentral. Lineage: Bacteria; Bacillati; Cyanobacteriota; Cyanophyceae; Pleurocapsales.